Molecule: long non-coding RNA, 651 nt
Organism: Cyprinus carpio carpio
Lineage: Eukaryota; Metazoa; Chordata; Actinopteri; Cypriniformes; Cyprinidae
Source: Ensembl
GCACAGUACGCUGUGUCCAGCCCAGAGGUGAAAGCCAUCCAAAGCAGAGUAACUGUGCUUUGCGUCCAAGUUGAUACCUGUGGAGAGGAAAGGAAAGAGAGAGUGAGUAACACAAGGAGAAACAGAGGAAACCUGUACUUACAGUACGCUGUGUCCAGCCCAGAGGUGAAAGCCAUCCAAAGCAGAGUAACUGUGCUUUGCGUCCAAGUUGAUACCUGUGGAGAGGAAAGGAAAGAGAGAUUGAUACCUGUGGAGAGAAAAGGAGAGAGAGUGGGUAACACGAGGAGAGACCGAGGAAACCUGUACUUACGCCGCUGCCUGUGGAGAAAGAGAAAGCGAGUGAGCACCCAAGGAACGAACUGUGUGAACCAGUACUUACUGUGAGCUGCAAUCAGCGAAGAGCCGUUGCCUGUGGAGGAAGAGAAAGAGAGUGAGCACCCCGAGAACGAACUGUGUGAACCAGUACUUACCGUGAGCUGUAUUCAGCGAAGAGGAGGAAGAAGGAGGGCGCUACGGAUACCUAAGACUCAGGCCGGGGCCCGAGUCCCACGCCCCGGAUCCCCGUGGCCCCCUUGCUCCCUGACCUCUUCCCGGCCAUAGCCCAUCUGGAGGGCCGAGUCAGAGUUUAGUUUUAAUUGCCCUUUCCCUAUU